CCGUGUCAUUGCCUCUUAUACAAAACAAACUCAACCCGUGGAUGGGAAAGACACGUGUUUAAAAAGUAUUAUUUGUUCUCACUCUCCCGCAUCCUGUCUUUCAGUAGGAGAAACGGCCGCGGAGUCUGUCACAAAUUGGCAGAACGUGGAGAGGAGGCGAGGGCCACUGCUAAAGCACAACAUUGCUUCACAGAAACCAGCGUCCUUGGACCUAUUAUACGGCGACGUCUGUCUAGUAGAAGAACUGUCCUUCACAAACCUAUACUCACCAGCAAAACAACCAUGCGCAAAUGAAGAGAUUAAUGACAGAUCUGAGGCGAUCCGUCUUUCUAUAGAAUCACAGUGUUAUCUCGCACGCAAACCCUGUCAAAAAGGGUGCCUUUGUCUGAGCAGGCAUAGACUACUAGAUCUGUCCGGUCCCGGUGCUUUGAGGAUUAAUUUUUUUUUUUUAAUCCUGUCAAGAUUCCCGGGGUAACUUGCCUGGCUGACACCAGCUCUCAAAGUUCUACUGUCGACGUGUCUGGUUGCGUCAGCCAAGCUAUGAGUCUAUUACAGGGGCAGAGGGAGUUGGUUCAGCUAAGAAAGGAGAGUGAAGAGACAGGUGGGACGGAGGUGAGGAAAAUUGAAAGGAAGACAGAUUGAGGGAAUCAAGAUGUUGUUUUGCCAGAAGAGCCCCUGGUCUGGGAAAUUGGAUUUCCUGUUCUACCCCCCUCCCCACAUACACACGCACGCACGCACACACACACACAUUGGGU
Esox lucius (northern pike) is the source of this 755-nucleotide long non-coding RNA. NCBI's taxonomy places the organism in Eukaryota, Metazoa, Chordata, Actinopteri, Esociformes, Esocidae. The record is from Ensembl.